CUACGGGCGGCUGCAGUAGGGAAUCUUAGACAAUGGGGGAAACCCUGAUCUAGCCAUGCCGCGUGAGUGAUGAAGGCCUUAGGGUUGUAAAGCUCUUUCGCUGGGGAAGAUAAUGACGGUACCCAGUAAAGAAACCCCGGCUAACUCCGUGCCAGCAGCCGCGGUAAUACGGAGGGGGUUAGUGUUGUUCGGAAUUACUGGGCGUAAAGCGCGCGUAGGCGGGCUAUUAAGUCAGGGGUGAAAUCCCGGGGCUCAACCCCGGAACUGCCUUUGAUACUGGUAGUCUUGAGUUCGAGAGAGGUGAGUGGAAUUCCGAGUGUAGAGGUGAAAUUCGUAGAUAUUCGGAGGAACAUCAGUGGCGAAGGCGACUCACUGGCUCGAUACUGACGCUGAGGUGCGAAAGUGUGGGGAGCAAACAGGAUUAGAUACCCGAGUGUC
Molecule: ribosomal RNA, 438 nt
Filed under: uncultured bacterium
Lineage: Bacteria
Description: partial 16S ribosomal RNA
Rfam family: Bacterial small subunit ribosomal RNA
Source: RNAcentral